Molecule: ribosomal RNA, 469 nt
Filed under: uncultured bacterium
Lineage: Bacteria
Description: partial 16S ribosomal RNA
Rfam family: Bacterial small subunit ribosomal RNA
Source: RNAcentral
GACGAACGCUGGCGGCGUGCUUAACACAUGCAAGUCGAACGGAAAGGCCCUGCUUGCAGGGUGCUCGAGUGGCGAACGGGUGAGUAACACGUGGGUGAUCUGCCCCUUACUUUGGGAUAAGCCUGGGAAACUGGGUCUAAUACUGGAUAGGACCAUGCUGUAGGUGGUGUGGUGGAAAGAUUAGUUUCGGUAAGGGAUGAGCUCGCGGCCUAUCAGCUUGUUGGUGGGGUAAUGGCCUACCAAGGCGUCGACGGGUAGCCGGCCUGAGAGGGUGGACGGCCACAUUGGGACCGAGAUACGGCCCAGACUCCUACGGGAGGCAGCAGUGGGGAAUAUUGCACAAUGGGCGCAAGCCUGAUGCAGCGACGCCGCGUGGGGGAUGACGGCCUUCGGGUUGUAAACUCCUUUCAGCCAUGACGAAGCCCUUGUGGUGACGGUAGUGGUAGAAGAAGCACCGGCUAACUACGUG